UAAUAGUCGCCGAUUUUGAGAAAAAAACAAAGAAUCCAUAAAGUUUAUUCCAAUAUAGGCCACAUAUGAAAUCUGGGCAGACUUCUAAAACCUCUCGAUGAAAAAGAACAAGGAGUACGCACAAACACAAGGAUACUUAUGGUUACAGUUUUUGUGCUUUUCAUAAUUCAACAUCACAGAUUCAACAACUCUCAAUUCUAACAAGAGUGAUCUCUGUCUACUUCGGUAAAUCAUUGCGUGUAACCCGCAAAUAGGUUUAUCUGAUAGUACUCAUACGAUUCAGAGAUUAAUCCAGAUGAGAAAAUUAAUUGUCCCUUACAUGAUGAAAAUCAGGGGAAAGCAAGAGGAAACCAGAGAUGUGAAGGGAAAGUAGGAACCAAGUGACGUCACGUCUCUUUUAUCACUCGGAUAUGUUUUUUUCUUCAUGAAAGUGGAGCCACGAUUUAGAUUCCUUAAUACUUCUUUACAUUUCAUGUUACCUCAUUAAUUUUAAUACAUUAUAGUUGAAUUUUGUGUCAAAGACCGAUUUAUGUCACGUUUAUUAAAUAUAGAGAUAUGGAAUGAAAACACUAUGAAACCACAUAUUUUCUUUAUUAUUAUUUUUCUGUU
Molecule: long non-coding RNA, 609 nt
Filed under: Helianthus annuus (common sunflower)
Lineage: Eukaryota; Viridiplantae; Streptophyta; Magnoliopsida; Asterales; Asteraceae
Description: hypothetical non coding rna
Source: RNAcentral